CGCCUACGGGAGGCAGCAGUCGGGAAUAUUGCGCAAUGGAGGCAACUCUGACGCAGUGACGCCGCGUAUAGGAAGAAGGUUUUCGGAUUGUAAACUAUUGUCCUCAGGGAAGAAAAAAGACUGUACCUGAGAAGAAAGCCCCGGCUAACUACGUGCCAGCAGCCGCGGUAAUACGUAGGGGGCAAGCGUUAUCCGGAUUUACUGGGUGUAAAGGGAGCGUAGACGGUGCAGCAAGUCUGAUGUGAAAGGUCGGGGCCCAACCCCGGGACUGCAUUGGAAACUGUUGAACUGGAGUACAGGAGGGG
This 305-nucleotide ribosomal RNA is filed under the name uncultured bacterium. RNAcentral describes it as "bacterial SSU rRNA". It matches the Rfam family "Bacterial small subunit ribosomal RNA", at positions 336 to 657 of the family's 1533-position model. The record is from RNAcentral.